AUGCCACUCGGCGUCCUUCCCGGCGCCCCAGCAGCCGGGGCUGCUUCCGCUGCCCUAUGGUCCGCCUGCCCCUCCCGCCGAAUGGCGCCGCGGGGGCCGGCACGGUGGGGGCCGCCGCGGCGGUCAGCAGCAGCAGCCGCAGGGCGCCGGCCAACCCCGUCAGCAGCAGCAGCCGCAGCAGUUCCAGGUGCCCCCUCCGUGGUCCUCCGGCUACAACCCGUGGACCGGUGUUGUUCAUGCCUACACCAUGCCGGUUCCACGGGCUCCUACGCCGACCCUUCCCGUGCCGCGCCCGCCGGCGCAUCAGGCGUACUACGCGGCUCCGCAGCCGUACGGAGGAUACCCACUGCCGCAGCUGAGCGGCACCUACGGUCUCCCUGCGGCCCCGCCGCUGCCCUCGCCGGCCCUGCCGCCGGUGCCUUGGGAUCCGGUGCUCCUCGCCGCGCUGCACACCGCACCUAUGCCGAACAACUACACUGGCGUGGUGAUUGGUACAUGGACACCGGGGCUACGGCUCACAUGUUUGCUCAUCCUGGUAAUCUUGCCUCCUUCACUCCCGUCACCACCGACCACCGCAUCAUUGUCGGCGACGGUUCCACACUCCCUAUUACACAUGUCGGGCACACUUCUUUUCCUUCUAAUUCCAUGCCUAUUACUUUCUCUAACAUACUUGUGUCGCCUAAUCUUAUUAAGAACCUUGUUUCCGUUCGUUGUACAACUCGUGAAAAUCCUGUUACUGUUGAAUUUGACGAGCUUGGUUUUGUGUCAAGGACGCUCGAACCAGGAUGGUACUUCACCAAUGUGACAGCCUCGACGAGCUCUAUCCGGUGCAUCGGUCGUCCACCUCCACCGUUGCACCGGUUGCUCUCUCCGCCGGCGUCGAUCUCUAGCACGCUCGUCUGGGUCAUCCCAACCCCGUCACACUUCAUCAUAUUCUUAGGAGUUUCAGUUUUAGUUGUAAUAAGAUAG
Molecule: ribosomal RNA, 969 nt
Filed under: Triticum aestivum (bread wheat)
Lineage: Eukaryota; Viridiplantae; Streptophyta; Magnoliopsida; Poales; Poaceae
Description: partial small subunit ribosomal RNA
Source: RNAcentral